UCGUGGCUAUUGGAUCACACUUGAUCACGCCCGAUCAAGCUCCCAACCAUCAGAUCAGACCCAAAUCAUGUCCGCAAGCCACUGUCGCCAUCCGAUCAUGCGUCAGAUCGAUUCUCAUCCAUCUGAUCACACGCCAAUCUAUAGAAACCCAUCGUGAACCACCAGCUAUUGUGGACCACGACUAAAGAUCGCGUGGGCUACGAUGUUACACCACGGUGGAUCGAUCUCGGGCCUG
Molecule: long non-coding RNA, 235 nt
Filed under: Elaeis guineensis (African oil palm)
Lineage: Eukaryota; Viridiplantae; Streptophyta; Magnoliopsida; Arecales; Arecaceae
Description: long non-coding RNA (EGUI_LNC013305)
Source: RNAcentral